RNAcentral lists this unclassified non-coding RNA (309 nucleotides) under Melitaea cinxia (Glanville fritillary). RNAcentral's name for it is "misc RNA ENSMCXG00005001266.1". Lineage: Eukaryota; Metazoa; Arthropoda; Insecta; Lepidoptera; Nymphalidae. The record is from RNAcentral.
UUUUUUAUGUAUGUUACAUCAGAACUUUUGACCGGGUGGACCGAUUUCGACAAAUUUUCUUUUAAUCGAAAGGUGGUGUGUGCCAAUUAGUCCCAUUUAAAUUUAUUUGAGAUCUAACAACUACUUUUCGAGUUAUAUUUAAUAAUGCGUUUUUACUUGACACUUUUUUCGUCGACCUACGUUGUAUUAUACCGCAUAACUUUCUACUGGAUGUACCGAUUUUGAUAAUUCUUUUUUUGUAAGAAAGGAGAUAUCCCUAGUUUAGUACCAUGAUAAGGAAACCAGGAUCUGAUGAUGGGAUCCCAGAGA